UAAGAAUGCUUUUUGAAAUCAUGUUUGAAAGUCUUGAGUCAAUGGUCUAUCUAGAAAGAUGAACUGUGAUUCUGUGAAGAAUUUGGAGUUAUUUUGUUUCAAAGAAACAUCUUGGCCAGCUUUGGUCUCUUUCAUCCCUCUAACUAGUCCCUUUGCUCCUCAUCUUUUCCUUCUUUGGUUCCUUUCUUUAGGUUUUUUAAAUUAUCAUAUUGUUAGAAGACUUAAAUCGAAUUAGGGAAUUUAUUUUAGUAUAAGGAGUCCAGAUCCAAUGGGAAUUGGCUACCUCAUGCUUCCUAUUUUUCUCGUCCUCGGUGGCUUUGGAAAUUGUGACUAUCUUUUCUAUAUUGAUUUUCCUUAUUCUUGUAGGACAAUUAUCCAUGGAGUCAAUGUAUUUAUAGUGCCUAAAGAACAUAUAUUCAAUUGAUCGAUUUAAUAAAAUUGACCUAAACUCUAAAUGUUUUUGAAGGUUUCAAACUGUCUAAAGUAAAUAUCCCAUCUUUUACCUCUUUCUCAUUUUCUGUUUCAUCUGUUUCUGCUCAAAAUACAAUUGAUAAGGGCUUUGGGUGUGGUCAUCUUGACAUCAAGUGUCCUUAGUGCAUAACCGUCACAUGCAAUCAAAAUGAAAAGUUUAAAUCAUAGACCUUCAAUUUGUAUGC
Molecule: long non-coding RNA, 656 nt
Filed under: Phoenix dactylifera (date palm)
Lineage: Eukaryota; Viridiplantae; Streptophyta; Magnoliopsida; Arecales; Arecaceae
Description: long non-coding RNA (PDAC_LNC019422)
Source: RNAcentral